UGAUAUGACUGGAACCAGGAAUAGGGC
This 27-nucleotide non-coding RNA is filed under the name Homo sapiens (human). The record is from RNAcentral. Lineage: Eukaryota; Metazoa; Chordata; Mammalia; Primates; Hominidae.